This 484-nucleotide ribosomal RNA is filed under the name uncultured bacterium. Its description in RNAcentral is "partial 16S ribosomal RNA". It matches the Rfam family "Bacterial small subunit ribosomal RNA", at positions 30 to 507 of the family's 1533-position model. The record is from RNAcentral.
AUUGAACGCUGGCGGCAGGCCGAACACAUGCAAGUCGAGCGGAUGAAGGGAGCUUGCUCCUGGAUUCAGCGGCGGACGGGUGAGUAAUGCCUAGGAAUCUGCCUGGUAGUGGGGGAUAACGUCCGGAAACGGGCGCUAAUACCGCAUACGUCCUGAGGGAGAAAGUGGGGGAUCUUCGGACCUCACGCUAUCAGAUGAGCCUAGGUCGGAUUAGCUAGUUGGUGGGGUAAAGGCCUACCAAGGCGACGAUCCGUAACUGGUCUGAGAGGAUGAUCAGUCAAAACGGAAACGAGACAAGGUUCCGACUCCCAACGGAGGGAGGAGGUGGGAAUAUUGGACCAUGGGCCAAAGGCUGAUCCAGGCCAGCCGGGGGGGUGAAGAAGGUCCUCGGAAUGUAAAACAACUUAAAGUUGGGGGAAGGGCAGUAAGUUAAUACCUUGCUGUUUUGACGUUACCAACAGAAUAAGCACCGGCUAACUUCGUG